AUACCUUGACUGUACACCCGCGAUUCUGACUCUCACGAAACUAGCUAUGUACCUAAGUUGUGCGUGCAUAUCUACAAAUGCAUCCAUAUGUGUAGGUACUUUCGUACUAUAUAAUAUUAGGUCUACUUGAGCCGUAUACAAGUGAAUUUUUUGUUUGAUUUCUUGUAACUUUGAUAGUUUUUUUGUUUAGAAGAUAUCAAACAAAACAUUAACUUGUAAACCGCCUAAGUAGACCUAAUAUUAUGUAGAAAGGUUUUAAAAGAAUGGAAUCCGAAAAAGACAUACUAUAUACUAAAGCAAGUACAAUUAUGUUUAUUGCUUUCAAUUUGGUAUACAAGAUAGUAAUAGACUAGGUGUUGUAAGUACUUGAAUUGUUCUUCUUUUUACUUGUUUGUUCAUCUUUGUGUACAAAGCUGCAUUAUCUCUGUCUUCUAUGACUUGUGUCUCACUCUGACUUGGAACUCUUUCAUGUGCGCAUAACUAACUUGCCUAGUUCUCAACUGAGCGUUUCUUCCUUGACCUUAACAUUCAACUGGACUUGAAUUCAAGAUAUUCCGGAGGUAAAGUGAGGACAGGUAAAGUGCACAUUAGGAGAAUUCCUGGUAAUUUCGUCUCGCUCUCUAGCUCCAUAAACAAUUCGCUCCAGAUAUUCUUUAAAAUAAACACAUGAGUAAUGAAUGAUGUCGUGGUUCGGGUCCUUCUUGUACUAAUGAAUUUCAGGCCUAGGAUGUAUGUCUUGUCUACGCACGUACCUCCAUAGAUGCACUCUAUCUCGUCUAACUUAGCGGAAUCAAAUUGCACAAAUCUUGGCAGAGUGUUUGUCGUAAUCAAAAAUUAAAAUAAUCAUCACUGGUUUUCAUCGCUACAUGAGCGCUAAGGAAGAUGGUAUUUUCUUUUUUUUUUUUUUACAGUAUGGCCUGGAUGCGAGUCCUUUAAACCAAGUCUUUGUUUUGUUCAAAACACAUUAUUUAAAGAGUUUUAUGUCAGAGAAUGCACUUUUGUUAAAACUUAAAACACUUCACUUUAAAUCUUCAACACUGUGUUUUUAAUAUACUUGUAUAACGGAACGUAACUGUUAACGUUUUUAAGAAUGUCGGUGAGGCGGCGGGGGACAUUAUUAUUAAACACUUCACUUAAUUCACUUGCAAGGAUUAGUCUUUCAAAUGAAAACACUUGGCAUUUAAAUAUAAGGUGUUCAACAUCUGCAACGCUACCAUUCUGGCAGUGAGGACAUGUACCAUCGGCUAUAAAUGAAAAUCUAGCCAGAUUUUCAUUUAUAGCCGAUGGUACAUGUCCUCACAUCAUCAUGUCAGUGCGCUGGUGCACAGUUGUGACCAAACCGCAAUCUAUUGAUGGUGGUAAUAAAGCUACGUCUUCCCGUCUUAAUCUUCUCAUACCAAGGCUUUCCAGGGCUUCAAAUACAGCAUAUGCUUCAGCCGUAAAUAUGGAACAUACAUCAUGCAACCUAAAGCUCUGUACAAAUUUAGUUUGAGGAUCAUACACUGCACUUCGAACAUGGGAAUCUGCUUUACUACCAUCGAUGUAUACUUUGUAAUAAUCGGGAAUUUGUGACAAGAAACAUAGAAAAUCUGUAUUAUUAUUGAUAGAUUUUGUGCAUACUGUAAUGUUUAAAAGUUUACUAUCAAAGCUAUCUUCAUAACAUGGCCAAAUUUCAUUUUUAUAUAUAUUACAAAACUUAGCUUCCACCUGUAAGAGUAGUGCUGUUAACUUGGUAUUUUCUUCUUACCUUCGAAAAUAUCUAAACUUCUCGACGUUGUCUUAAACACUUAACUUUUUAAACCUCCAGGUUUUGUAACACUAGAAUUAUAGGGAUUCUAAUUUCCCUAUUUGAAUUUGACUCGUGUUUAAUGCUUGCUCCGAUUUUACUAUGCUCUGCUCUGCACUUUAAAAUUAAUAGAGAAAUAAUAAGUUCAUAUCAAUCAUAUCUCUGUUUACAUUUAUUUGACAGUAAACAACAGUUGCUAGGUAACAACAUUAUCAAUAAAGAUAGGUCUUGACAUACGAGGUAUAAGCAACCUUCUUAAUGUAGUAUUCAUGCCUUUAAAUGGUACCAAUUUUAUAGUGACAUCUGGUGAUGUAGUUUAUACAAUCGGUAGUCCACUUUACGCAAACGUAUUUCGGGGGCCGUGAAUAAGGAUGCAUAGCUGAAUGUGCAAGUCGCAAAAUGUGCACUAAUGCAAAUCGCAGAAGGUGUAGAUCGUAAAAAGAGCAGGUCGCAAAAUGUGCAAAUCGUAAAACGAGUAGGUCACAAAAUGUAUAAAUCGUAAAAUGUGCACGUCGCAAAAUGUGCAAAUCGUAAAAUGUGCAGGUCGCAAAAUGUGCAAUUCGUAAAAUGUGCAGGUCGCAAUAUGUGCAGAUCACACUGUACUCGUAGAUGAGAAUGAGAAGUCUUCUUGAAUUCUCUUCAUCCGGGCGGGUCACGGGUGUUCAAUACCCGAGUAGAGCCGAUACCGCAGAUCCGGACGUGAACUUAACCUGGACCUUAACCUUGUCCUAGAGGAAACGAUUCUUGGCGGGCCCGUGUAGUUGUUAGUACGACUUUAAAAUAAGAAGUUUUUCCAUACGGAGGAAGAUUAACUGUCAAAAAUGUUAAUAAGAGCACUCUAUUAAAACACACUAAGGUCCAUUUUCAUUUGACAGGGUUGAAGGAGGAAAACGUGCCGAAAAAGAGAGCAAAAGA
Molecule: long non-coding RNA, 2701 nt
Organism: Cydia pomonella (codling moth)
Lineage: Eukaryota; Metazoa; Arthropoda; Insecta; Lepidoptera; Tortricidae
Exons: 2
Source: RefSeq, a predicted model, not a curated record